GUUUCCACUGUUGCUCGGAGAACACACGCAGUGGGAUUCAGAAUUCCUAGAGAACUGCCUUUAUGAGAAGCUGGAAGUAUGUCUUUAAAUUCCAUCUCUUAGUUUUUCAAUUUGUUGCAUUUCAGAGAAACAUCAAGAAACC
RNAcentral lists this non-coding RNA (142 nucleotides) under Otolemur garnettii (small-eared galago). RNAcentral's name for it is "ODC internal ribosome entry site (IRES)". It matches the Rfam family "ODC internal ribosome entry site (IRES)". Lineage: Eukaryota; Metazoa; Chordata; Mammalia; Primates; Galagidae. The record is from Rfam by way of RNAcentral.